This 774-nucleotide ribosomal RNA is filed under the name uncultured Neocallimastigales. RNAcentral describes it as "partial large subunit ribosomal RNA". It matches the Rfam family "Eukaryotic large subunit ribosomal RNA", at positions 19 to 649 of the family's 3401-position model. Lineage: Eukaryota; Fungi; Neocallimastigomycota; Neocallimastigomycetes; Neocallimastigales. The record is from RNAcentral.
CGAGCACGCGCGUGUGGCAUAUCAAUAAGCGGAGGAAAAGAAACUAACAAGGAUUCCCUAGUAACGGCGAGUGAAGCGGGAAGAGCUCAAAUUUGAAAUCUUCAAGGUUCUACCUUGACGAAUUGUAGUUUAUAGAAGUGUUUUCUGUUAGUAGAGUGGCAAAAGUUCUUUGGAAUAGGACAUCAUAGAGGGUGAGAAUCCCGUAUUUGGUCAUUCCUUCCUAGCUUUGUGAUACACUUUCAACGAGUCGGAUUGUUUGGGAAUGCAGUCCAAAAUGGGUGGUAAAUUUCAUCUAAAGCUAAAUAUUGGCGAGAGACCGAUAGCGAACAAGUACCGUGAGGGAAAGAUGAAAAGAACUUUGAAAAGAGAGUUAAACAGUACGUGAAAUUGUCAAAAGGGAAGCGUUUGACACCAGUGUUGUUUUUCCGAAAAUCAAUUACGAAUGUUUUGUUUUUAAGAAGUUAUGACUUCAUCGGCUUGCUCCUUUCUUUACGAAACUUUCUUAAUGCACUUUUCGGUUAACAAGUCAACAUCAAUUUCUUUUGUUGUAAAAGGGUAUGAGGAAGGUGGCUUUCUCUUCGGAGAAAGUGUUUAUAGCCUUGUACCUCUGCAAUCGGAGAGAUUGAGGUCUGCAGCGUAGAUCCUUCGGGGUUAGAUACAUUUGUGCUAAGUUAUAGCUUUUCAUAGACAACUUGUUGACUAUGUUAAGUCUUGUAGCUUACUCGCUUAUGCUAUUUUACCUACGCUUAGGAUGUUGAGUAGCGACAUACGCAC